ACGGGGAUGGUUCAACGGAAGAACGAGGGCCUUUGAAGCCCGCGAUGCAGGUUCGACCCCUGCUCCCCGUACCA
Molecule: transfer RNA, 74 nt
Filed under: Myxococcales bacterium
Lineage: Bacteria; Pseudomonadati; Myxococcota; Myxococcia; Myxococcales
Also listed under: 1 other name
Description: tRNA-Gln
Rfam family: tRNA
About the family: Transfer RNA (tRNA) molecules are approximately 80 nucleotides in length. Their secondary structure includes four short double-helical elements and three loops (D, anti-codon, and T loops).
Source: RNAcentral